Molecule: ribosomal RNA, 1770 nt
Filed under: Triticum aestivum (bread wheat)
Lineage: Eukaryota; Viridiplantae; Streptophyta; Magnoliopsida; Poales; Poaceae
Description: partial small subunit ribosomal RNA
Source: RNAcentral
AUGGAAAUCGGCUCGGUGCCUUCCCAGGACGAAGAUGCGGCGGCCGCCACGCCGCGGGAGGCCACCCUGGGCCGCCACCUCGCGCGCCGCCUGGCCGAGGUGGGCGCACGCGACGUCUUCGCCGUGCCGGGGGACUUCAACCUGACGCUCCUCGACGAGCUCGAGGCCGAGCAGCCGUCCGGCGGCGGGGUGCGGCUCGUCGGGUGCUGCAACGAGCUGAACGCCGCCUACGCCGCCGACGGCUACGCCCGCGCGCGCGCAGGCGGCGUCGGCGCCUGCGUGGUCACCUUCACCGUCGGAGCGCUCAGCGCCAUCAACGCCGUCGCCGGCGCUUUCAGCGAGAACCUCCCCGUCGUCUGCAUCUCCGGGGGCCCCAACAGCAACGACUACGGCAGCAACCGGAUCCUGCACCACACCAUCGGCCUCCCCGAUUUCUCGCAGGAGCUCCGGUGCUUCCAGAACGUCACCUGCUACCAGGCAGUGGUGAACAACUUGGAGGAUGCACAUGAACAGAUUGACACUGCCAUCUCCACUGCACUGAAGGAGAGCAAACCUGUUUACAUCAGCAUCUGCUGCGACCUCCCUUCAAUCCCUCAUCCCACAUUUGGCCACCAUCCUGUCCCUUUCUUUCUCUCCCCAAGACUGUCAAACCAGAUGAGCCUGGAAGCAGCGGUGGAAGCCGCUGCGGCUUUCUUGAACAAAUCGGUCAAGCCGGUCCUUAUUGGCGGAGCAAAGAUGAGGGUGGCCAAAGCGCGCAAAGCCUUCGUAGAGCUGGCCGAUGCAUGCGGUUAUCCGUUCGCGGUGAUGCCUUCUGCCAAGGGGCUUGUGCCAGAGCACCACCCUAGAUUCAUCGGCACAUACUGGGGUAUUGUGAGCACUCCAUUCUGUGGAGAGAUUGUGGAGUCAGCUGAUGCCUAUUUGUUUGCUGGCCCGAUGUUUAACGACCACACCUCGGUUGGAUACUCACUUCUACUCAACAAGGAGAAGGCCAUCAUUGUCCAGCCGGAUCGAGUCGUGAUUGGGAAUGGGCCUGCAUUUGGGUGUGUUCUGAUGAAGGACUUCCUGCGUGCACUUGCUACCCGGCUCAAGAAGAACACGGCUGCGUGCGAGAUCCAUAGCCGGAUUUUUGUGCCUGAGGGCGAACCCCGUCCCUCUGAGCCUGGAGAGCCUUUGAGAGUGAAUGUAUUUUUCAAGCAUAUUCAGAAAAUGUUGUCUGGCAACUCGGCUGUUAUAGCAGAGACUGGGGACUCAUGGUUUAACUGCCAGAAGCUAAAACUACCAGAAGGCUGUGGGUAUGAAUGCCAGCUGCAAUAUGGAUCAAUUGGCUGGUCGGUCGGGGCUACUCUGGGAUAUGCGCAGGCUUCUAAGGAUAAGCGAGUCAUUUCCCUCAUUGGAGAUGGCAGCUUUCAGGUGACGGCACAGGAAGUGUCGACGAUGCUCCGGUGGGGACAGAACAACAUUAUCUUUCUCAUAAACAAUGGGGGCUACACCAUCGAGGUGAAGAUCCAUGACGGUCCUUACAACGUCAUCAAGAACUGGAACUACACCAGCUUGGUGGAAGCAUUCCAUAAUGGCGAGGGCAAAUGCUAUACUGCAAAGGUUCGAACGGAGGAGGAACUGGAGGAAGCAAUUGAGGCAUCCCUAGGACCUCACAAGGACAGCCUGUGCUUUAUAGAGGUAAUUGUGCACAAGGAUGACACCAGUAAGGAGCUCCUUGUGUGGGGAGCUAGGCUUUUCGCCGCAAAUAACCGCCCGCCGAAUCCUCAGUGA